UCCUGGCUCAGAUGAACGCUGGCGGCGUGGAUAAGGCAUGCAAGUCGGACGAACUACCUUCGGGUAGUUAGUGGCGAACGGGUUAGUAACGCGUGGAUAACCUACCUUGAGGACAAGCAUAAUUCGGAGAAAUCCGAACUAAUUCUUGAUAAUAAUGAGGGGACGUAUGUCAUUCUCAUUUAAAGGUUUACAGCAAUGUAUUCCGCCUUAAGAGGGAUCCGCGUCCUAUCAGCUAGUUGGUAAGAUAAUGGCUUACCAAGGCUAUGACGGGUAGGAGACAUGAGAGUGUGUUCUCCAACACAGGCACUGAGACACGGGCCUGACUCCUACGGGAGGCAGCAGUCGAGAAUAUUGGUCAAUGGGGGAAACCCUGAACCAGCGACGCCGCGUGAGCGAAGAAGCUCUUCGGAGUGUAAAGCUCUUUUCUGGGGGAUGAACCUUUGGGUGACAGUACCCUAGGAAUAAGGGGUUGCUAACUCUGUGCCAGCAGCAGCGGUAAUACAGAGACCCCAAGCGUUAUUCGGAUUUAUUGGGCGUAAAGGGUCCGUAGGCGGUUAAACAAGUCUUUGGUUAAAGGCCCAGAGCUUAACUUUGGGAAUGCCAAGGAAACUGUUUAACUAGAGGGCGUUAGAGGCUGAUGGAACUCUCGGUGUAGGGGUGAAAUCCGUUGAUAUCGAGGGGAACACCAAAAGCGAAGGCAUUCAGCUAGGGCGUUCCUGACGCUGAGGGACGAAAGCGUAGGGAGAGAACGGGAUUAGAUACCCCGGUAUUCUACGCUGUAAACGAUGGACACUGGCUAUUUGAAGUGUCGACCCUUCAAGUGGCGAAGCUAACGCGUUAAGUGUCCCGCCUGGGAAGUACGGCGGCAACGUUAAAACUCAAAGGAAUAGACGGGGACUCACACAAGCGGUGGACCACGUGGCUUAAUUCGACAAUAAGCGAGGAACCUUACCAGGGCUUGAAAAACUAGUGAAAGUCUUCCGAAAGGAAGAUCUACCCACAAGGACACUAGUCCAGGUGCUGCAUGGUUGUCGUCAGCAUGUGCUUUGAAGUGCUCCCUUAAAUGGGGUAACAUGCGCAACCCUUACUUUAUGUUUUAUAUGUCAUAGAGAACUGCCCGAGACAAUCGGGAGGAAGAUGAGGAUGACGCCAAAUCAGCAUGGCCCUUUGAUGUCCUGGGCUGCACACGUGGUACAAUGGGGCCGACAAUGGGUUGCUAAGGCGUAAGCUGGAGCUAAUCCCACCAAACGGUCUCUCAGUUCGGAUUGAGGUCUGCAAUUGGACCUCAUGAAGCCGGAAUCGCUAGUAAUCGCAUAUCAGCCAUGGUGCGAGGAAUACGUUCCUGAGUCUUGUACUCACCGCCCGUCACAUUAGGGAAGCCGGCGGUAGCCGAAAUCUCGAGCAAUAGGGCCUAAGCUAAAGUCGGUAACAAGAGUGAAGUCGUAACA
Molecule: ribosomal RNA, 1448 nt
Filed under: uncultured Parcubacteria group bacterium
Lineage: Bacteria
Description: uncultured Parcubacteria bacterium 16S ribosomal RNA
Rfam family: Bacterial small subunit ribosomal RNA
Source: RNAcentral